Molecule: non-coding RNA, 168 nt
Organism: Hordeum vulgare subsp. vulgare (domesticated barley)
Lineage: Eukaryota; Viridiplantae; Streptophyta; Magnoliopsida; Poales; Poaceae
Source: Rfam
GACAGGAAGAGGAAGGAAAGAGGGCCUAAGAGCAGUGGGCAUGGGAGCAUGAUGGAAGGCUAAAGCUCUCUCAGUUCCUCGUGCAACGCUGAAUGAGGCUUUGGUUGAGUUUUCCUGAUGCCUCCUUUGCCUAUUGUUCUUUGGAGCUCCUUGCUCGUCCUUUUGUGU